Long non-coding RNA from Drosophila yakuba, 757 nucleotides. RefSeq lists it as uncharacterized. The transcript has 2 exons. Lineage: Eukaryota; Metazoa; Arthropoda; Insecta; Diptera; Drosophilidae. The record is from RefSeq and is a predicted model, not a curated record.
UACAUAUAUAGCUUAUAAAAAUAAAGAAUUUCAUGUUUAAGUUAAAAAAAUCAAGACAAGAACAUGCUUAAACUUUAACAAAAUAUUUAUACGUACCUACAUAUAAUUAGGCAAAUUGAGGUUGCAUUUAAAUAAGAGUUGUAAGAUUUCAAGAGUUUUAAGCACCCUGUUCCAUUCACCUUUGAUUUGAUUGAAAGCUUAUUAAAGCUCAUCAGCUUAUCAGCAAACGAAAUCGAAGUUUUGAUGAGCGUGGUUUUAAAUUUCCAAUAAAGGUACUUCCGCAUCCCGACGAGCAUGUAGCGCACUUUGGGCGCGGAUAGGACAUCCAGGAGUAUGACCAUCAGGGCCUGAAAGCUCUCAUAGGUGCCAUCUUUAUACUCCAGCAGAGCCUUGCCAAAGCGGCGGAAUUGAUCCUGGGUGACCAGACUGCGUAGCUGCAAUGUAAGGUAUAUAAUUAACAGCAGUAUGAAAGAAAUUUCCAAUGUAUCCCACCUCUCGGAGAAAAUCGGCCCUUUCCGCAGGUGCCUCCUUAACUUGCGAACUGCUUGGCUCCACCUUGAUGUUCUCCACCAGCUUAUAUCGCUUCUUUGACACCUGACUGGAGGAUUCCGGCUGCGUCGGCGAGCUUCGCUCCCGCUUGUGAAUCUUCACCAUGCCAGAGGAGCCACUUUUACUAUCCAUGCAGCAGUUAAAAUCGAUACUCUAGAAAGGGGAAAACAAUUCCGUAGGAACUAAAUAAACACAAAGUAAAAGUAGA